UUUUUCUUUUACAGUUAAAGCCAUCAGAUAAAUAGAGGAGAAAUUGUCCAAGUUGUUAGGUUCAAGAGUGUCAGUCUCACUUUGUUUAAACAUAAUCUUUUCCUUAAAGAGAAGCUCUGAAAUGUAAUCACUUGGCAUGCAUGCUCAAAUUCAGUGACAUUUUAGUGUAUACAGCCUUGCUGCUUAGCUCUAGGUAGCCCAUCAAAUUAAAAUCACAUUUUCGGGAUUUAUAGCUCAUUAGAAUAUUUAUCUUGGUAAGCCUCUUAUUCUGUCAGUAAUUUUUAAACAAUUCACUGUUUGGCCAAUUUAUGCAAUCCCCUCAUUCUGUAAAUGAAGAGGCACUAUACAACUUAACCUCUCAAACAAGUCUUAGUAGAAAGCUCGUAAGCCACCUAGAAAAAAAUACCAAAGUUUGAGAAUAUAGCUGUAUUCUUGAGAUUCCUAAUGCCUAGAGUAUUUAAUCAGUGAAAUUUGGUAUGUGAGACGUCUAAGAAACAAUUGCCUUUGCAUUUGACAAAUGAAGCUUUGGAAGACUGGUCGAAUUUGGGA
This 549-nucleotide long non-coding RNA is filed under the name Bos taurus (domestic cattle). Its description in RNAcentral is "long non-coding RNA NONBTAT001867". The record is from RNAcentral. Lineage: Eukaryota; Metazoa; Chordata; Mammalia; Artiodactyla; Bovidae.